RNAcentral lists this ribosomal RNA (253 nucleotides) under uncultured bacterium. RNAcentral describes it as "partial 16S ribosomal RNA". It matches the Rfam family "Bacterial small subunit ribosomal RNA", at positions 524 to 776 of the family's 1533-position model. The record is from RNAcentral.
UACGUAGGGGGCAAGCGUUGUCCGGAUUUAUUGGGCGUAAAGAGCGUGUAGGCGGCCUGAAAGGUCAGCUGUGAAAACUCGAGGCUCAACCUCGAGACGUCGGUUGAAACCAUCUGGCUAGAGUCCGGAAGAGGAGAGUGGAAUUCCCGGUGUAGCGGUGAAAUGCGCAGAUAUCGGGAAGAACACCCGUGGCGAAGGCGGCUCACUGGACCAUUACUGACACUGAGGCACGAAAGCUAGGGGAGCAAACAGG